AAGGCAAUAGCUGGGUCAAAUGGAGGUUCCAUUCCCAGCUUUCCCAGGAAUCUCCAUACUGCUUUCCAAAUUGGCCGCCCCAAUUUGCAGUCCCACCAGCAAU
RNAcentral lists this microRNA precursor (103 nucleotides) under Marmota monax (woodchuck). The record is from RNAcentral. Lineage: Eukaryota; Metazoa; Chordata; Mammalia; Rodentia; Sciuridae.